UGUGAGCUCGAUGAGUAGGGCGGGACACGUGGUAUCCUGUCUGAAUAUGGGGGGACCAUCCUCCAAGGCUAAAUACUCCUGACUGACCGAUAGUGAACCAGUACCGUGAGGGAAAGGCGAAAAGAACCCCGGCGAGGGGAGUGAAAAAGAACCUGAAACCGUGUACGUACAAGCAGUGGGAGCACGCUUCGGCGUGUGACUGCGUACCUUUUGUAUAAUGGGUCAGCGACUUAUAUUCUGUAGCAAGGUUAACCGAAUAGGGGAGCCGAAGGGAAACCGAGUCUUAACUGGGCGUUAAGUUGCAGGGUAUAGACCCGAAACCCGGUGAUCUAGCCAUGGGCAGGUUGAAGGUUGGGUAACACUAACUGGAGGACCGAACCGACUAAUGUUGAAAAAUUAGCGGAUGACUUGUGGCUGGGGGUGAAAGGCCAAUCAAACCGGGAGAUAGCUGGUUCUCCCCGAAAGCUAUUUAGGUAGCGCCUCGUGAAUUCAUCUCCGGGGGUAGAGCACUGUUUCGGCAAGGGGGUCAUCCCGACUUACCAACCCGAUGCAAACUGCGAAUACCGGAGAAUGUUAUCACGGGAGACACACGGCGGGUGCUAACGUCCGUCGUGAAGAGGGAAACAACCCAGACCGCCAGCUAAGGUCCCAAAGUCAUGGUUAAGUGGGAAACGAUGUGGGAAGGCCCAGACAGCCAGGAUGUUGGCUUAGAAGCAGCCAUCAUUUAAAGAAAGCGUAAUAGCUCACUGGUCGAGUCGGCCUGCGCGGAAGAUGUAACGGGGCUAAACCAUGCACCGAAGCUGCGGCAGCGACGCUGAUGCGUUGUUGGGUAGGGGAGCGUUCUGUAAGCCUGCGAAGGUGUGCUGUGAGGCAUGCUGGAGGUAUCAGAAGUGCGAAUGCUGACAUAAGUAACGAUAAAGCGGGUGAAAAGCCCGCUCGCCGGAAGACCAAGGGUUCCUGUCCAACGUUAAUCGGGGCAGGGUGAGUCGACCCCUAAGGCGAGGCCGAAAGGCGUAGUCGAUGGGAAACAGGUUAAUAUUCCUGUACUUGGUGUUACUGCGAAGGGGGGACGGAGAAGGCUAUGUUGGCCGGGCGACGGUUGUCCCGGUUUAAGCGUGUAGGCUGGUUUUCCAGGCAAAUCCGGAAAAUCAAGGCUGAGGCGUGAUGACGAGGCACUACGGUGCUGAAGCAACAAAUGCCCUGCUUCCAGGAAAAGCCUCUAAGCAUCAGGUAACAUCAAAUCGUACCCCAAACCGACACAGGUGGUCAGGUAGAGAAUACCAAGGCGCUUGAGAGAACUCGGGUGAAGGAACUAGGCAAAAUGGUGCCGUAACUUCGGGAGAAGGCACGCUGAUAUGUAGGUGAAGUCCCUCGCGGAUGGAGCUGAAAUCAGUCGAAGAUACCAGCUGGCUGCAACUGUUUAUUAAAAACACAGCACUGUGCAAACACGAAAGUGGACGUAUACGGUGUGACGCCUGCCCGGUGCCGGAAGGUUAAUUGAUGGGGUUAGCCGCAAGGCGAAGCUCUUGAUCGAAGCCCCGGUAAACGGCGGCCGUAACUAUAACGGUCCUAAGGUAGCGAAAUUCCUUGUCGGGUAAGUUCCGACCUGCACGAAUGGCGUAAUGAUGGCCAGGCUGUCUCCACCCGAGACUCAGUGAAAUUGAACUCGCUGUGAAGAUGCAGUGUACCCGCGGCAAGACGGAAAGACCCCGUGAACCUUUACUAUAGCUUGACACUGAACAUUGAGCCUUGAUGUGUAGGAUAGGUGGGAGGCUUAGAAGUGUGGACGCCAGUCUGCAUGGAGCCGACCUUGAAAUACCACCCUUUAAUGUUUGAUGUUCUAACGUUGACCCGUAAUCCGGGUUGCGGACAGUGUCUGGUGGGUAGUUUGACUGGGGCGGUCUCCUCCUAAAGAGUAACGGAGGAGCACGAAGGUUGGCUAAUCCUGGUCGGACAUCAGGAGGUUAGUGCAAUGGCAUAAGCCAGCUUGACUGCGAGCGUGACGGCGCGAGCAGGUGCGAAAGCAGGUCAUAGUGAUCCGGUGGUUCUGAAUGGAAGGGCCAUCGCUCAACGGAUAAAAGGUACUCCGGGGAUAACAGGCUGAUACCGCCCAAGAGUUCAUAUCGACGGCGGUGUUUGGCACCUCGAUGUCGGCUCAUCACAUCCUGGGGCUGAAGUAGGUCCCAAGGGUAUGGCUGUUCGCCAUUUAAAGUGGUACGCGAGCUGGGUUUAGAACGUCGUGAGACAGUUCGGUCCCUAUCUGCCGUGGGCGCUGGAGAACUGAGGGGGGCUGCUCCUAGUACGAGAGGACCGGAGUGGACGCAUCACUGGUGUUCGGGUUGUCAUGCCAAUGGCACUGCCCGGUAGCUAAAUGCGGAAGAGAUAAGUGCUGAAAGCAUCUAAGCACGAAACUUGCCCCGAGAUGAGUUCUCCCUGACUCCUUGA
This 2445-nucleotide ribosomal RNA is filed under the name Escherichia coli. Its description in RNAcentral is "bacterial LSU rRNA". It matches the Rfam family "Bacterial large subunit ribosomal RNA", at positions 398 to 2826 of the family's 2925-position model. The record is from RNAcentral. Lineage: Bacteria; Pseudomonadati; Pseudomonadota; Gammaproteobacteria; Enterobacterales; Enterobacteriaceae.